This 460-nucleotide ribosomal RNA is filed under the name uncultured bacterium. RNAcentral's name for it is "bacterial SSU rRNA". It matches the Rfam family "Bacterial small subunit ribosomal RNA", at positions 29 to 507 of the family's 1533-position model. The record is from RNAcentral.
AUUGAACGCUGGCGGCAUGCUUUACACAUGCAAGUCGAACGGCAGCGCGGGGGCAACCCUGGCGGCGAGUGGCGAACGGGUGAGUAAUGUAUCGGAACGUAUCCUGUAAUGGGGGAUAACCAGUCGAAAGAUUGGGUAAUACCGCAUACGCACGAGAGUGGAAAGUAGGGGAUCGCAAGACCUUACGUUAUAGGAGCGGCCGAUAUCUGAUUAGCUAGUUGGUGGGGUAAAGGCCUACCAAGGCGACGAUCAGUAGCUGGUCUGAGAGGACGACCAGCCACACUGGGACUGAGACACGGCCCAGACUCCUACGGGAGGCAGCAGUUGGGAAUCUUGGGCAAUGGGCGAAAGCCUGACCCAGCGACGCCGCGUGAGGGAAGAAGGCCUUCGGGUCGUAAACCUCUGUCAUGGGGAAGAAGCAAGUGACGGUACCCAAGAGGAAGCCCCUGCUAACUACGUG